GGCGUGACCUAGUUGACAGGCUCUGAGGUGCUGCUGUGGCGGCGUCCGCGGGGCUGAGGCGGGUGGGAGCCGGAGCCGAGCGCGGGCUGAGGGAGGGCGGCGACUGGAGAGCGGCGAGCGGCGAGCAGCGCAGGACGCGGAGCCUCUUUCACUUUUUCCCUGCUGAGUGCCCCCUCCCACCCCUCCCACUCCACACACACCCUGUUUGCCCGUGAGCCUGGGGAACUUGCAGCUUAAAGCCAGCCACCCCCACGGCAACAUGUACCCCAGCAACAAGAAGAAAAAGGUGUGGAGAGAGGAGAAAGAACGUUUACUGAAGAUGACCUUAGAAGAGAGACGCAAAGAAUACCUAAGAGACUAUAUUCCCCUGAACAGCAUUCUAUCAUGGAAGGAGGAGAUGAAGGGCAAGGGCCAAAAUGAUGGAUGCAUCUCUCAUGGUUGAAGAAGUGGUGGAGGAUGGCAUGGGAGAGAGUGCCUGAGGAUCCUUGCCUGGAACAAGUUAUGGAAAGAAAGUCUUACAGCUUGGGCUCUAGGAAAAGAGCCUUUUAUCCCACCUUGUCCUGCAGUCCAUUUUGAAUCAAGAAAGACUCAUUGAAGACUCCUUUGAGAAGAGUCUGUUUUGAAGAAGGAAAAAGAAAUACUGUUUGAGAGAAGGCAAACAGACAAAAAGGGUGAUAGAAAUAUGUAUUUUUGUUGUAUAUGUAACUCUGAGAGACCUUCCUAGAGUGAAGGUAGAGAACUGAAAAGGGAGUAAAUUAAGGAAUGCCUGAAUUUUGUGGGUCUUGAUGGAAAAACGCUGGUCUUCUUUUAACGUGGAAAAACAGCUGGUGCUUCAGUCCUAGGAAUUAUGUCUCUGCUGUGGGCAGUUGUCAUAAACUCUUCUCACAAUCCGAGCUGCUCUUUGUCCUCUGUGAAUGAAGGUACUUUUGCUUCUUUUUCAUCCAAGGAUGAAUGAAAAUGUAUAGCAUCUGCCCAAACCUGAAAAGUACAGUGUGUUUAUCACGAGAGCUUUGUAAGGUACUUCACUUGCACUUUAAAAUUCUUUAGUGCUCAAAACCAACCAUUGUGGGUUUUUGUCAAUAAAUACUAAUUUUUCAA
RNAcentral lists this small RNA (1098 nucleotides) under Pongo abelii (Sumatran orangutan). Its description in RNAcentral is "processed transcript". The record is from RNAcentral. Lineage: Eukaryota; Metazoa; Chordata; Mammalia; Primates; Hominidae.